This 66-nucleotide transfer RNA is filed under the name Physella acuta. RNAcentral describes it as "transfert RNA-W(TGA)". The record is from RNAcentral. Lineage: Eukaryota; Metazoa; Mollusca; Gastropoda; Physidae.
GAUAUUAUAGGAUAUAAUUAAUCCGUGGACCUUCAAAGUCUAAAAUAAUCUUUAGGUUUUAUAUCG